CACCAACCAAAUCAUAAUAACCAACCUUAUUAUAAUAAUAAAUCUCAAUAUUACCCAAAUUACAAUUACAGACCUUCAUAUCAAUACCAACAAAAUUAUAGACCUUCCUACCCACACCAGCAACCAAUCUAUCCACAUCAACAAUAUCAAGGUUACUAUCCUUCUUAAGCUAGAGAUGCAAUGACAACACCACCACUACAGAACAUACAAAGACCACAAGCAUCACCAUAUUUUAAAACACCUUCAUCCAUAGACCAAACACAAGCUUGUCAGAUCUGUGACAAAAAAGGACACCUAGCAAAGCAGUGUCCAGACUACAAUAACUACUCAGCCCUAAACACUACUGAAACUAAAACAUCAUAACCUCCUUGCCUAACACAUCCAGCUCAUCAUCAGUCGACAACCCCUCAAGUCUAUACAGAACAAUAUCAGUUACCUUCACAACAUGAAUUGGCCAUGCCAGCUGCUUCUAUACAAGAGGACACAUCUUGGUGUCUUGACUCUGGAGCAUCCAACCACAUAACACCAGACUUGACUACCUUCACUGCAUAUGAGACAGCACCAGGUACUCAAUAUGUAAUUGUAGGUAGUGGUGAUUAUUUACCUGUGAAAUAUAGAGGAAAAAUUAUAAUCUAGAUGGUGUAUUGUGUGUUCCUGGACUAAAAAAAAACUUAAUGUCAAUUCAAAAAUUAUCUAGAGAUUUAAAUUGCAUUAUUGUUUUUAAUGACAAAAACUUUAUGGUUAAGGACCAGGGCACUAUGGAGACAUUAUUUUCUGACAAUAGCUCAGAAGGAUUAUACCACAUCUAUCCGGACAACCAAGCUUGUUAUGGAAUGAAAGCUUCAAAAGAGAUGUGGCAUGACAGAUUGGGACACCCAUCUGAAGCAGUUCUGAAACAAAUGGAGCCAGAGCUAAGGAUUAAAGAAUUAGAAGGAAAGAAUAAAGAAUUUUGCAAAGUAUGUCCCCCAGGAAAAGUCCAUCAAUUACCCUUUGAUAGAAGGAAUGUAAUAGCAUUAACUCCUUUAAAAAUAAUACAUAUCGAUCUGUGGGGUCCAUCCCCAAAGAAAUCUGUAACUAAUUUUAGAUUCUAUGUAUCAAUAGUUGAUGAAUGUACAAGGUUUGUAUGGUUUUACCCAUUCAAUAAUAAAUCAGAUUUUUUCUCUAUUUUUGUUAAGUAUCAUAAUUUAGUAGAAAGAUAUGUGAGACAGAAAAUAAGAGAAAUACAAACUGACCAAGGAGGGGAAUUUAUAAAUGGAAAAUUCAAGAAAUACCUAGAAGAGCAAGGAAUAAACCAUAAAAUGUCAUGUUCAUAUACCCCCCAACAACAUGGACUAGUAGAAAGGAGACAUAGACAAAUAUUAGAAGUUGGGAGAUGUCUGAUGAUUAAAUCUAGUAUACCACAUGAAUAUUAGCCAGAGGUAUUCUCCUCUGCUGUCUACUUAAUGAACAGACUAAAAACACCUACCUUAGACAACGAAGAGUCCUUAUGAAAAAUUAAUGAAUAGAUCACCUGAUUAUUCAAUAAUGAAAACCUUAGGAUAUGAAUGUUAUCCUUUAAUUUGUUGCCUAGAGAGGGAAGAAAUAAAUUGAUGCAUAAAUCCAAAAUGUGUGUAUUUUUAGGGUAUGCUACUCAACAGAAAGGGUAUAGGUGUCUAGAAAUAGAGACUAAAAGAAUAAGAAUAUGUAGAAAUGUGGUGUUUAAUGAAGACUCUUUUCCUUUCACUGAAUUUCAAAAAUCAGUGGAUAUUCAAACUAAACCAAUGGUUAUAGAACUAGUAUCACAAUCAAGGAUACCCAUUAUAAGACUAAAUUCAAAUAUAAAUGGGAAUAAAAAUGAAAUUUCAAAUGAAACAUCAAGCUUAGACAGGAUCCAGUCUGACUCUCUGUCUAAUAUAAAUUCAAUUCCAAAUUCAUCUCAAAUUGAGAAUAAGGGGUCCAAUAUAGGCAAGAAUCAUUCUGAUUCACUACCUAACAAUGAUCUAACUCAAAGACCAAUGAUAACAAUGCUGGAUCGAGAUCCGAUGCUAUAAGGGGGGAUAAUAGCAUCUUUUCGAUUUAUGCAAGUUAAUAGCGGAAUUACCUGCACACACUUAAGUACACAAAUGGUUGUAUAAUAAUAAUAGUAUAAUAUUGUUAGCAAUAUAAUACUAUUAUAUGAUUUAAAAGAAUAUAAUAUUAUAUCUUAUAAUAUUAUAUAUAUUGGACUUGCCUUUUACAAUUGAAAUUUACUACAGUAUAUGAAUACGUAGUCAACUUUUCAGAUGGUGUUUUAUAAACAACUAUAGUAUAUGAAUACUAAGUUAUAUUAUAAACACAAGUUAUAUUAUAGAGUAAAUGAUCAGAUAACUGGAUAUAUUGAUAAGCAAGUAAAUGACCAGAUAACUGGAUAUAUUGAUAAGCAAGUAAAUGAUCAGAUAACUGGAUAUAUAUAUGAUAAGUAAAUGCUUGAACAAAUAUAUGAAUAAGGAUUUAAAGCAAUAAAUAUAACCUCAGAUAGUUGACCAGAUAACUGGAUGAGGGAUCUGCGUAAAGUAGUCAACCUCUGUAUUUGACCAGAUAACUGGAAGAGGGAUCCUUUUCAAUUAAGUGUUGUUUAGUUGUUUUUAGAUGAAAGAUAAAAACUAGAGUUAACAAAGAACAACACAAGAGAUUUAUACUGGUUCACCCAAACAAGGGCUAGUCGAGUCCCGACCAACUGUCGGAAUUCACUCGCCUAAAGGUUAUGGCAAAACCUUAGAGUAUCAAGGAACUUUUAAAAACCACUCUAAGCUUUAAGGCUACUUCGCUUAGGAACCAGUCUUUUACGGGUAGACUCAUACCUUAGAGUAUCAAGGGCACUCUUAAGAACCUCUAACUUUUGCGGGUAAAUUAGUACCUUAGAGUAUCAAGGAACUCUUAAAAACCUAGAAAUCUUUCAAGGUAGAUUCGACCUAAGAGUUUUCCCGGAAACUCUAUAAAACCAAACUAGAGCUUUAUGGUUGAGCUCGAAAACCUUCUCUCACACUUUGGUACUAUUGAGACAACCCUCUAAACCAAAUUGGACACACACAAGAGGUGAUUAGAGGAGUGGAAUAUUAAAGCAAACAACACUUCUUACUUGUAAAGAUGAACAAGAAGAUUAGAAGAAGAAGUUGGAGAGCUUUUGAAGCUUUGGAAAGCUAGGACACUUGAGCACUUGAAAGCUUGGAAGCUUGGAGGCAAAAACGUGUGGGCAAGUGUGGAGUGAAAGCUCUUGAGUUUGCUUGUAGUGUGGUGGGUGAAAAUGAGGGGAUUGCCCUUCUAUUUAUAGCCUUGGCCACUCAAUGUCCACCCUUGGAUCUUCAAUGGAUGGCUCCUUGACUUCUUACAAAAAUCCAAGCUUUGUCUUUGAUCUCAUCUUGAAUUCUUGGAUAGUGUGUUGGUCUUAUCUCUUUGGAUAGUGUGUUGUCCUUAAG
RNAcentral lists this long non-coding RNA (3434 nucleotides) under Zostera marina. Its description in RNAcentral is "long non-coding RNA (ZMAR_LNC002317)". Lineage: Eukaryota; Viridiplantae; Streptophyta; Magnoliopsida; Alismatales; Zosteraceae. The record is from RNAcentral.